Long non-coding RNA from Pongo pygmaeus (Bornean orangutan), 591 nucleotides. RefSeq lists it as uncharacterized. The record is from RefSeq and is a predicted model, not a curated record. The transcript has 3 exons. NCBI's taxonomy places the organism in Eukaryota, Metazoa, Chordata, Mammalia, Primates, Hominidae.
CAGAAGAGGAAGGUGAAUAAGGUUCAUUCUUCCACGCCUUCCAGACUGUCAUCUCUCUUAGGGGAGAAACAGAUUCUCAUUUCUUUUUUAUUUAUUUUAGCACAUGUUAAAUAAUGCUUUUAAGAUCAUGAAUUAACUAAUGAACAGAAACUGUUAUCCUGCUGGCUUAUCUCCCACUGAGCUACAGGUUUCUGGAGGGUGUCCUGUGGAAGAAUGUAUCGAGAAUGCCCAGGAAAGCUCAGGAGACUUUGCAGAAUCAUCUGUGGUUUGCCAAAAUGUUGACAUGCAGCAUAACCUGCUACUAAUCAAAAAGAAAAUAAAACAAACCAAAGAAGAAGAAGAAAAUCUAACACUAUGAGGAGGCCGUGGCACAGAAAGGCCAGAAGUGUUUAAAGAGCAGAGCCAUAGUUCAAACCCAGGAGGCUUGUCUCAGAGCCACUUGUCUGCUACUUGAAAGCACAGAAUGAAGAAGACAAAGGGUUUGGGCUUUCGAAUUCCCUUCUACAUACACAGAUCUAGGCUUCCAUACCACAUUGUAAGUAGGAAACUCUCUGAGCACCUAGCCCCUAGCAUGGUGUCUAUUCCAGUGUA